UGUUCGGGAACAUUCAACGCUGUCGGUGAGUUUGUGAGUCAGAGAAACCAUCGAGUGUUGAGUGUACCCUUACA
RNAcentral lists this microRNA precursor (74 nucleotides) under Xyrichtys novacula (pearly razorfish). It matches the Rfam family "mir-181 microRNA precursor family". From Rfam's summary of the family: In this case the mature sequence comes from the 5' arm of the precursor. The extents of the hairpin precursors are not generally known and are estimated based on hairpin prediction. The record is from RNAcentral. Lineage: Eukaryota; Metazoa; Chordata; Actinopteri; Labriformes; Labridae.